This is a long non-coding RNA of Phyllostomus discolor (pale spear-nosed bat), 160 nucleotides long. RefSeq lists it as uncharacterized. The record is from RefSeq and is a predicted model, not a curated record. NCBI's taxonomy places the organism in Eukaryota, Metazoa, Chordata, Mammalia, Chiroptera, Phyllostomidae. The transcript is spliced from 3 exons.
CCACACGCCGCGUCUCCCUUGGCUUCGGCGUCCUCGAGGGCGUGACCACACGUGACGUUCUGUGUCACACACACCACCAGCGAAGACGCCGCACGCCGUGGGUCCGAACACACACUGUUGAAAUAAAUAGUGGCUAGGUAUGGUUCUAAGGUGGAAGGAG